Molecule: ribosomal RNA, 701 nt
Filed under: Pediococcus acidilactici
Lineage: Bacteria; Bacillati; Bacillota; Bacilli; Lactobacillales; Lactobacillaceae
Description: bacterial SSU rRNA
Rfam family: Bacterial small subunit ribosomal RNA
Source: RNAcentral
UGCAGUCGAACGAACUUCCGUUAAUUGAUUAUGACGUACUUGUACUGAUUGAGAUUUUAACACGAAGUGAGUGGCGAACGGGUGAGUAACACGUGGGUAACCUGCCCAGAAGUAGGGGAUAACACCUGGAAACAGAUGCUAAUACCGUAUAACAGAGAAAACCGCAUGGUUUUCUUUUAAAAGAUGGCUCUGCUAUCACUUCUGGAUGGACCCGCGGCGUAUUAGCUAGUUGGUGAGGUAAAGGCUCACCAAGGCAGUGAUACGUAGCCGACCUGAGAGGGUAAUCGGCCACAUUGGGACUGAGACACGGCCCAGACUCCUACGGGAGGCAGCAGUAGGGAAUCUUCCACAAUGGACGCAAGUCUGAUGGAGCAACGCCGCGUGAGUGAAGAAGGGUUUCGGCUCGUAAAGCUCUGUUGUUAAAGAAGAACGUGGGUAAGAGUAACUGUUUACCCAGUGACGGUAUUUAACCAGAAAGCCACGGCUAACUACGUGCCAGCAGCCGCGGUAAUACGUAGGUGGCAAGCGUUAUCCGGAUUUAUUGGGCGUAAAGCGAGCGCAGGCGGUCUUUUAAGUCUAAUGUGAAAGCCUUCGGCUCAACCGAAGAAGUGCAUUGGAAACUGGGAGACUUGAGUGCAGAAGAGGACAGUGGAACUCCAUGUGUAGCGGUGAAAUGCGUAGAUAUAUGGAAGAACACCAGU